RNAcentral lists this ribosomal RNA (292 nucleotides) under uncultured bacterium. RNAcentral's name for it is "partial 16S ribosomal RNA". It matches the Rfam family "Bacterial small subunit ribosomal RNA", at positions 505 to 796 of the family's 1533-position model. The record is from RNAcentral.
GUGUCAGCCGCCGCGGUAAUACAGAGGGUGCGAGCGUUAAUCGGAAUUACUGGGUGUAAAGGGCGCGUAGGCGGCAAGAUGUGUGUGAUGUGAAAGCCCCGGGCUUAACCUGGGAAGUGCAUUGCAAACUGUCUGGCUAGAGUAUAUGAGAGGGUGGCGGAAUUUCCGGUGUAGCGGUGAAAUGCGUAGAGAUCGGAAGGAACGUCAAUGGCGAAGGCAGCCACCUGGCAUAAUACUGACGCUGAGGCGCGAAAGCGUGGGGAGCGAACAGGAUUAGAAACCCCAGUAGUCC